Molecule: long non-coding RNA, 554 nt
Filed under: Glycine max (soybean)
Lineage: Eukaryota; Viridiplantae; Streptophyta; Magnoliopsida; Fabales; Fabaceae
Description: long non-coding RNA (GMAX_LNC002785)
Source: RNAcentral
CCUCAUCCAAUUUUUGCCCAAAUUAAAUCCUACAAGUCCCAAAUCAUGUACCAAUCAUGUCUAAACCAAGGGCAAGCUUCAAACCAAGGCAACACAAAAUCUAGGUAUCCAAAACCCCUCAAUUUAAUGGAUUUUCAAGGUUUGAGAAGUGAAAUUGAGAAUGGGGUAAAUUUGGAGCAAACUCUCACCUCACACAAGUCUAUAACAUCAAUUUAAACUUGCUCAAACUGGAUUUACACCUAAAAUUCCACCGAAUCAAAAUUUGACUCCUCAACACCCAAUUUUAACCUAGAAAUGGCCCUUUGUUCACUUUGGUCAUUUGUUUUUCUCUCUUGCACAGCCCAAGCUUUCUCAUAAGUCCUAAAUGACAUUUCAAACUAGGAUUAACUCACUUUAACCUCCAAAUACCACUAAAUCCAUGUUUGGCCUUCCAACUCUCCAAGACUCACUCUUUUUCCACUCAUAACACCAUAUUCUCACUUUCUAACCCUAGGUUAACUCUACCCUUCAUCCCUAGCAGUUUUCCAUAAGCAAUUUCAGCACAUAAACAUCAC